GAUGAACGCUGGCGGCGUGCUUAACACAUGCAAGUCGAACGAAGCACUUUAUUUGAUUUCCUUCGGGACUGAUUAUUUUGUGACUGAGUGGCGGACGGGUGAGUAACGCGUGGGUAACCUGCCUUGUACAGGGGGAUAACAGUUGGAAACGGCUGCUAAUACCGCAUAAGCGCACAGCAUCGCAUGAUGCAGUGUGAAAAAGUCCGGUGGUAUAAGAUGGACCCGCGUUGGAUUAGCUAGUCGGUGAGGUAACGGCCCACCAAGGCGACGAUCCAUAGCCGACCUGAGAGGGUGACCGGACACAUUGGGACUGAGACGCGGCGCAAACUCCUACGGGAGGCAGCAGUGGGGAAUAUUGCACAACGGGCGAAAGCCUGAUGCAGCGACGCCGCGUGAGCGAAGAAGUAUUUCGGUAUGUAAAGCUCUAUCAGCAGGGAAGAUAAUGACGGUACCUGACUAAGAAGCACCGGCUAAAUACGUG
RNAcentral lists this ribosomal RNA (481 nucleotides) under uncultured bacterium. RNAcentral's name for it is "partial 16S ribosomal RNA". It matches the Rfam family "Bacterial small subunit ribosomal RNA", at positions 28 to 507 of the family's 1533-position model. The record is from RNAcentral.